ACGUAGGGGGCAAGCGUUGAUCGGAAUCACUGGGCUUACAGGGUGCGCAGGCUUGCCCGACCUCGUCUUGUGAAAGCCCCCGGCUCAACCGGGGAACAGCGGGGCGAACUUCGGGUCUUGAGGCAGGUAGGGGCGGAUGGAACUGUCGGUGGAGCGGUGGAAUGCGUAGAUAUCGACAGGAACGCCGAUGGCGAAGGCAGUCCGCUGGGCCUGUCCUGACGCUCAGGCACGAAAGCGUGGGGAGCAAACAG
Molecule: ribosomal RNA, 251 nt
Filed under: uncultured prokaryote
Description: partial 16S ribosomal RNA
Rfam family: Bacterial small subunit ribosomal RNA
Source: RNAcentral